AUGAACGCUGGCGGCGUGCCUAAUACAUGCAAGUCGAGCGAACGGACGAGAAGCUUGCUUCUCUGAUGUUAGCGGCGGACGGGUGAGUAACACGUGGAUAACCUACCUAUAAGACUGGGAUAACUUCGGGAAACCGGAGCUAAUACCGGAUAAUAUUUUGAACCGCAUGGUUCAAAAGUGAAAGACGGUCUUGCUGUCACUUAUAGAUGGAUCCGCGCUGCAUUAGCUAGUUGGUAAGGUAACGGCUUACCAAGGCAACGAUGCAUAGCCGACCUGAGAGGGGGAUCGGCCACACUGGAACUGGGACACGGUCCAGACUCCUAAGGGAGGGAGCAGGAGGGAAUCUUCCGCAAUGGGCGAAAGCCUGACGGAGCAACGCCGCGUGAGUGAUGAAGGUCUUCGGAUCGUAAAACUCUGUUAUUAGGGAAGAACAUAUGUGUAAGUAACUGUGCACAUCUUGACGGUACCUAAUCAGAAAGCCACGGCUAACUACGUG
RNAcentral lists this ribosomal RNA (496 nucleotides) under uncultured bacterium. RNAcentral describes it as "partial 16S ribosomal RNA". It matches the Rfam family "Bacterial small subunit ribosomal RNA", at positions 29 to 507 of the family's 1533-position model. The record is from RNAcentral.